This 347-nucleotide ribosomal RNA is filed under the name uncultured bacterium. RNAcentral's name for it is "partial 16S ribosomal RNA". It matches the Rfam family "Bacterial small subunit ribosomal RNA", at positions 338 to 682 of the family's 1533-position model. The record is from RNAcentral.
CCUACGGGAGGCAGCAGGGAGGAAUAUUGGGCAAUGGGCGGGAGCCUGAACCAGCCAAGGAGCGGGAAGGAUGAAUGCACAACGGGGUGUAAACUUCUUUUAUAAAGGAAUAAAGUGAGGCACGUGUGCCCUUUUGUAUGUACCUUAUGAAUAAGGAUCGGCUAACUCCGUGCCAGCAGCCGCGGUAAUACGGAGGAGCCGAGCGUUAUCCGGAUUUAUUGGGUUUAAAGGGAGCGGAGGUGGGUUGUUAAGUCAGUUGUGAAAGUUUGCGGCUCAACCGUAAAAUUGCAGUUGAUACUGGCAGUCUUGAGUACAGUUGAGGUAGGCGGAAUUCGUGGUGUAGCGGU